GAUGAACGCUGGCGGCGUGCCUAACACAUGCAAGUCGAGCGAAGCGCUUUAUCUGAUUUCUUCGGAUUGAAGGUAAUGUGACUGAGCGGCGGACGGGUGAGUAACGCGUGGGUAACCUGCCUUUCAGUGGGGGACAACAGUUGGAAACGACUGCUAAUACCGCAUGAUACUUUUUGGGGGCAUCCCUAAAAAGUCAAAGCUUUAUGUGCUGAAAGAUGGUCUCGCGUCUGAUUAGCUAGUUGGUGAGGUAAUGGCUCACCAAGGCGACGAUCAGUAGCCGGUCUGAGAGGAUGAACGGCCACAUUGGGACUGAGAUACGGCCCAG
Molecule: ribosomal RNA, 325 nt
Filed under: uncultured bacterium
Lineage: Bacteria
Description: bacterial SSU rRNA
Rfam family: Bacterial small subunit ribosomal RNA
Source: RNAcentral